Molecule: non-coding RNA, 28 nt
Filed under: Mus musculus (house mouse)
Lineage: Eukaryota; Metazoa; Chordata; Mammalia; Rodentia; Muridae
Source: RNAcentral
UGGCUGCAACUUCGCAUGUGUUUGUUUU